CGCUCGUAGUCGGAUUUCGGGGCGGGCCGACCGGUCUGCCGAUGGGUAUGCACUGGCCGGCGCGUCCUUCCACCCGGAGACCGCGCCUACUCUUAACUGAGCGGGCGCGGGAGACGGGUCUUUUACUUUGAAAAAAUCAGAGUGUUUCAAGCAGGCAGUCGCUCUUGCAUGGAUUAGCAUGGGAUAAUGAAAUAGGACUCUGGUGCUAUUUUGUUGGUUUCGAACACCGGAGUAAUGAUUAACAGGGACAGUCAGGGGCACUCGUAUUCCGCCGAGAGAGGUGAAAUUCUCAGACCAGCGGAAGACGAACCACUGCGAAAGCAUUUGCCAGGGAUGUUUUCACUGAUCAAGAACGAAAGUUAGGGGAUCGAAGACGAUCAGAUACCGUCGUAGUCUUAACCAUAAACCAUGCCGACUAGGGAUUGGGAGGAUGUUCCAUUUGUGACUCCUUCAGCACCUUUCGGGAAACUAAAGUCUUUGGGUUCCGGGGGGGAGUAUGGUCGCAAGGCUGAAACUUAAAGGAAUUGACGGAAGGGCACCACCAGGAGUGGAGCCUGCGGCUUAAUUUGACUCAACACGGGGAAACUUACCAGGUCCAGACAUUGUGAGGAUUGACAGAUUGAGAGCUCU
This 630-nucleotide ribosomal RNA is filed under the name Emiliania huxleyi. RNAcentral describes it as "SSU rRNA". It matches the Rfam family "Eukaryotic small subunit ribosomal RNA", at positions 625 to 1258 of the family's 1831-position model. Lineage: Eukaryota; Haptophyta; Isochrysidales; Noelaerhabdaceae. The record is from RNAcentral.